Molecule: ribosomal RNA, 1226 nt
Filed under: metagenome
Description: bacterial SSU rRNA
Rfam family: Bacterial small subunit ribosomal RNA
Source: RNAcentral
AGAGUUUGAUCCUGGCUCAGAUUGAACGCUGGCGGAAUGCUUUACACAUGCAAGUCGAACGGCAGCACGGGAGCUUGCUCCUGGUGGCGAGUGGCGAACGGGUGAGUAAUGCGUCGGAACGUACCGAGUAAUGGGGGAUAACGCACCGAAAGGUGUGCUAAUACCGCAUACGCCCUGAGGGGGAAAGCAGGGGAUCGUAAGACCUUGCGUUAUUCGAGCGGCCGACGUCUGAUUAGCUAGUUGGUGGGGUAAAGGCCUACCAAGGCGACGAUCAGUAGCGGGUCUGAGAGGAUGAUCCGCCACACUGGAACUGAGACACGGUCCAGACUCCUACGGGAGGCAGCAGUGGGGAAUUUUGGACAAUGGGGGCAACCCUGAUCCAGCCAUUCCGCGUGAGUGAAGAAGGCCUUCGGGUUGUAAAGCUCUUUCAGCUGGAACGAAACGGUACGCUCUAACAUAGCGUGCUAAUGACGGUACCAGCAGAAGAAGCACCGGCUAACUACGUGCCAGCAGCCGCGGUAAUACGUAGGGUGCGAGCGUUAAUCGGAAUUACUGGGCGUAAAGCGUGCGCAGGCGGAUUGUUAAGCAAGACGUGAAAUCCCCGGGCUUAACCUGGGAAUGGCGUUUUGAACUGGCAGUCUAGAGUGUGUCAGAGGGGGGUAGAAUUCCACGUGUAGCAGUGAAAUGCGUAGAGAUGUGGAGGAAUACCAAUGGCGAAGGCAGCCCCCUGGGAUAACACUGACGCUCAUGUACGAAAGCGUGGGUAGCAAACAGGAUUAGAUACCCUGGUAGUCCACGCCCUAAACGAUGUCAACUGGUUGUUGGGGGAGUGAAAUCCCUUAGUAACGAAGCUAACGCGUGAAGUUGACCGCCUGGGGAGUACGGUCGCAAGAUUAAAACUCAAAGGAAUUGACGGGGACCCGCACAAGCGGUGGAUGAUGUGGAUUAAUUCGAUGCAACGCGAAAAACCUUACCUACCCUUGACAUGUCCAGAAUCCUGCAGAGAUGCGGGAGUGCCCGAAAGGGAAUUGGAACACAGGUGCUGCAUGGCUGUCGUCAGCUCGUGUCGUGAGAUGUUGUGUUAAGUCCCGCAACGAGCGCAACCCUUAUCAUUAGUUGCUACGCAAGGGCACUCUAAUGAGACUGCCGGUGACAAACCGGAGGAAGGUGGGGAUGACGUCAAGUCCUCAUGGCCCUUAUGGGUAGGGCUUCACACGUCAUACAAU